This 7285-nucleotide long non-coding RNA is filed under the name Zea mays. Its description in RNAcentral is "long non-coding RNA (ZMAY_LNC003487)". Lineage: Eukaryota; Viridiplantae; Streptophyta; Magnoliopsida; Poales; Poaceae. The record is from RNAcentral.
GCUUCACUUAUUAUCUUUCGAAUGAGUUGGCUUCCUUGGACCACCAUCUUUUUUUCCGUCUCUUUCUGUCGAAUGGCCCAAGAAUCCAACCAAAAGCAACAAAGAAAUAUUAUGUUAGCAGGAUCAAUUAAACUUUUUUCACCAAAAAACCAAUCAUUUCUGGUUCUCCAAAUAGCCCAAAACAAAGCCCCACAGCCAAAAAUCAGAAGACUUGACAUUUUGUUUUUAGGAUUUUUCAUCCAGCUAUCACACACUUCAUCAAUAUUUUUUGGAAUGUAAUCCAACUUAAGGGCAAUUUGAAUCACUCUCCAGACAAAUCUGGCAACUGAGCAUUUAAAAAAUAAGUGAUCAAUUGAUUCCAAGCCACCACAGAAACAACAAUCAUCAGAACCUUUCCAAUUUCUUUUUUUCAGAUUGUCUUUUGUAAGGAUUUUGUUUCUAAUCACCAGCCACAGAAAAACUUUGAUUUUUUGUGGUAAUUUGGAUUUCCAUAGAAAUCUGUAGGGAACUUUGAUCUGAUCCAAAGAAUUUUUCUUAUACAAAGAAUUGACAGUGAAUCCUUUAUUGCCCAAUCUCCAAACAGGUUUAUCUUCAUGACUUGACAAACUAAAACCAGAACAUAAAGUCACUAACUCAUCAAAAAGCCCCUGAAGGUUGCCAGUCAUUCUUCUUCUGAAGGAAAGAGCCUCAAAAUCUGAAGACAAAACUUUAAACACCUAAAUGUCUUUGUCUGCAGCUAAAUCAAACAGAAUGGGAAAUCUCAAGGCCAGAGGUCCAUCACCAAUCCAGAAAUUUUUCCAAAAACUAGUACGAUGGCCAUUACCAACUGACAUCUUACAGUGUUUAAAGAAACUCUCCCUAAGCUUUAAGAGUUUUUUCCAAAAAUGAGAGUCAGUCUGUCUUUGAUUAACAGAAAUAAGGGGUUUUCCCUUAAUAUAUUUUUCAGCAAUUAUUUUCUGCCAUAAACCAUUAGUAUUUUCCAAAUUCCAAAGCCAUUUGGAUAGCAGCGCAUCAUUCAUAAAACCCAAAUUCAACACACCUAAACCCCCUAAGCUUUUGGAGGAGCAAACUGUCUGCCAAUUAACCAAGUGCAUCUUUUUUGCCUGUGAACCACCUUGCCAAAGAAGAUUUUUUCUGAAUAAAUCCAAUUUUCUAGUAACCGAUUUAGGAGCCGGAUAAAUCGAUAACAUGUACAGAGGUACAUUAGAAAGCGAACUGUUCAAAAGGGUCAAUCUGCCUCCCAGACUCAAGAACCUCCCUUUCCAACCAGCCAGCCUUUUGUCCAUUUUUUCCAACAUAGAACACCAAAGAGAUUUACUAAUCUUCUUAUUGUCAAUUGGCACACCAAGGUAUUUCAUUGGAAGGCUACCAAUAGGACACGUAAAAAUGUCAGCAUAUAAAUCAGUGAAUUCUUUAGCAUCACCCAAGCAAAAAAUUUCACUUUUGUGAAAAUUAAUUUUCAAUCCAGACAUAUGUUCAAAAAGACAAAGAAUGAAUUUAAGAUUUCUCGCUCCUUCUAAACAAUCUUGAAUCAUAAAAAUAGUAUCAUCAGCAUAUUGAAGACAACAACAACCAUUUGGAAUGAUGUGAGGAAUCAAACCACAAAUCAGACCUUUUUCCUGAGCUUGAUGUAUGAUGCUAGCCAAACCAUCUGCCACCAGAUUAAACAACAGGGGUGAAAAAGGAUCACCCUGACGAACUCCUUUAUGAGUUGCAAAAUAAGGACCAAUUAAAUCAUUUGUCCUGAUGGCCACUUUACCAUCUCUGACAGUCAUCAUAACCCAAUCACUCCAAAUGUCCCCAAAACCCUUUUUUUGCAUCAUACAAUACAAGAAUUGCCAGUUAACUUUAUCAUAAGCUUUUUCAAAAUCAAUUUUAAGAAUUACUCCACUUUGCUUUCUUUUUUUCACUUCAUGAAGAAUUUCAUUCAAAGAAACCACACCAUCCAUGAUAUAUCUCCCUUUAAUGAAACCAUAUUGAUUAGAGCUAAUCACAGAAGUAAUACAAGAUGCAAGUCUAUUCGUCAGAACUUUAGUAAUGAUUUUAUAACAAACAUUUAAAAGACAGAUCGGUCUAAAAUUCCUCAUAUACGUAGGAUUAUCAAUUUUAGGAAUCAAAGUAACAAGACCAAAGUUAAGUCUUUUAAUGUCGAGAACCCCAUUAUAAAAGUCUUUGAUUAAAUUCCAUAGAUCAUUAUGGAUGAUCUCCCAAGAAUAUGGCUAACUUGUGGUUGCUAAAUGUUAUAGCAUUUACCUUGUGGUUUUUGUACAUCACUGAAUGUUCAGCUGCAAGUUGAAAAAUUUUUAAUCCUCUAUUUUAUUGUCACUGCAGGCCUUUGGUUUCACUUGCGUAUCCUCUGUAAGUUAACCCACUAACCUUUUAGAUAAACAUAUAGACACUAACUGUAUUCCGUUUGAUGGUUAUUGCUUCUGUUUUACCUCAUUGGCCAUUUUCCACAGGUAUGCCUCUGUUAGAGCAAUUGAAACAAAAUCUGCUGUGGAUGAUCAGCAAUGGCUCACGUACUGGGUGCUGUACUCAUUUAUCACUCUAUUCGAGCUCACCUUUGCUCCGGUACUCGAAUGGUAAAACAACAAACUUUCAGCACAAGUGGGCAUUUCACCAGCUUUAGUUCCAUGUGCAGUUUGGAACUUACCAUAAUGGUCAUAUGUGGUAUAUUUUUUAGGGCUAUAAACAAUAGUACCUUAAUUUCUUUGCUAGUGACCUUAAAUGGUUUAGGGCCUGUUUGAAUGCACUAGAGCUAAUGGUUAGUUUGCUAAAAAAUUGCUAGUGGAAUUAGCUGGCUAACGAAUAGCUAACUAUUAGCUAAUUUACUAAACGUAGCUAAUAGCUGAACUAUUAGCUAGAUUGUUUGGUUGUCUUUAGUUAUUUUUAGCAGCUAACUAUUGCACUUUGCAGGCUUCCUUUCUGGUCUUAUGCAAAGCUGUUCUUCAAUUGCUGGUUAGUAUUGCCACAGUUCAAUGGAGCUGCACAUGUAUAUGAGCAUUUUGUGAGGCCAAUGAUUGUAAAUCAGCAAGUUGUAAACAUCUGGUAUAUUCCAAAGAAGGAUGAAUCAAGUAGACCUGAUGAUGUAAUUUCAGCUGCACAGAGGUACAUUGAGCAAAAUGGAUCAAAAGCGUUUGAGAAUCUUGUUAACAAGGUAUUAUCUGUUUCCUGUUAAAUUUUACCAUUCUCUUUUGUGAAAAUAGUGGACACUUGCACCAGUUAGGUUUUUUUUUGUGCUGUGAGAAGCACAGAAAAAUGACUCUACAAGUCUACAGUGAUGAUGCUGCCCUAGUGUUUAAUGAUAUUGCAGUGUGGUUUUUAUUAUCCAUACUACGGAAUUCAGUUAACAACUGUCAUUGUGUUCUAUCAAAUAUUGUUUCUGUGAUUUCCUACAUUCUAAAAAAAUCAACAACUGGGGAAGGACUGCCUCCAUGGUUUUGCACAUUUUCACAUUCUUAGGCCUUUAAACCUUACUGAAAUGCUUAUUACCAGAAUGAGCUUUAAGUAGAUCAAAUAGCUGGGCUUUAUCUUGCAGAAAUUGUGUAAGGAACCCUCUACAACAAAACCGAGGGAAAAAUUAGGGGACCUAGAGUUUGACAACGUGUGGUGCUCUUGUCAGCUUGGUUCACUCUUGCAGCUUUUAGGCAUAAUUCAUUCAGUUUUCUUGUUGAGCCUAACACAAAACUGAAUAAAAGCUGGCUUGUUGAGCUUAACACAAAACUGAAUAAGCAUUUUUUUAGAUGAAGUCUAACUUUCAGCCUUGGCAUCAAAACUGAAUCAAUUAGUUAAUGAAAAUCAAAGGGACACGGUCCCUUAGCAGUUAGCAAGUGUUCUUUUAUUUCAUUGCCCAAAAGAUGGAAACAUCAACAUCAUUUUACUGUUUAUAGAAUCACAAUGCUUUCAGCUGUUGCGCAUCCCAGUGACCUAGUCCAAUUUUUAUUGCAAGGAACUGUUUGUAGCUCGCAUUUAUCUUUGGUUUACUUCCUCGAAUAUUUUAUUUACAUCAAGGGAUCUUAGAGUUCAUCUUGAAAAAUAAAAGAGCAGCUUAGGAACAUAAACAUUCCUUUUUUUUACAUCGUGCAGUUUAAGAGUUCGAACCCAAGGCGCUCAAUUCUGGAGGAGGUAGAGGUUGAAAGGAGGGCCAGGAUUCAACUAGAAUCUGAAGCGAGGGAAGUGAACCCUUUCUUCAAUCCAGAAUAUCAGUACUAGGCAACCAUUUUCCCUUCACUUGCCAGGUGAGCGUAGCUGCAUGAUUUGUGUUCUCCUGCCCCAUUGAUGUUUCGGAGCCUUACAUGUUCUGUUUUCUUGGGGAAAAAUGUGUUCCUUUGCAAGGUAACCUUUCUAAGUUUUUUUGUGCUUUGAUAAUUGAUACUCAAUGCAGGAAUGUGCUAGGAUCGGUUUGGAGGAAGAUGUCUGGAUAUUAGGAUUGCGUUUUGCACCUACUGAAUCGAUGAUAUUGUGUAGAUGGACAACCAUAAUUGUUGUAGAUAUGUUGUGGCGAUGGAACUCAUGUAAUGGUCAUGUCGCGAAUGUUUCAUGCUGCUGGAAAUUAUGUAUUCACACUGGACUCUAGUUAUGUGCCUCACUAGUUUCUUGAAGGUAGUUGUUGAACUAGGUACUAGUAACGGGUGCGCGCUUUGCGCGCAUGGUAAACAAUAUGCAAUAUUGUUUUUAAGUUAAUUAUUAAUGCUUGUUAUAAUUCAUAUAUUGCCAGACGAAUAAAGCAAGAAUAAAGCGAGAGAGUUUUUUUUAAGAUGAUACAGAGCAUGAAAGACAGUAUAGAGCACAACAGAUUUAUAUAAAAUAAAAUAGAGUUAAGUGAGUUGUGGCCGAAGGUAAUAUGUUUGUUGCGAUAUUUAAAGCUACCUUGUUAUAUUUAUAUGAAAUGUCUUUAGAAGAGUUGAACAGUUAUAUAUAAUUAUAGAGGACAUUCUACAAACUUAAAGGUUGCUAAUAAUCUGAGAAAAUCUUCGGUUCUUGGAAGAUCUGGUGUCCAACUUUUCUUUGAUGCGCAGGGGUCCAUAUUUGAACCUGUAUAGUUGGGAAACAAAGAAUUUUAAUAUCUUCGUUUAUGGAAGUAGAAGAGAAAGGGAUAGAAGUGUUCAGCAUAAAUGGUUACCACAAUUAAUAUCUAUUUUCUAUUUGUAUGUAUAUGUGGUAUUAAAUUUUGGAUAAGUUAAAUAUGGGGAAAAUAUGUGUGAAAGAAAUAUAGUUUUGGAUAAGUUCACUUUUGUAGUCGCAAUAAUUACCAAAGAAAAAUGGAAUGAUACUUUUAUAAUAGAAAGAAAAUAAUACAUGUAAGAUAUUGUGUAGCAGAGUAUAACCUUUUUGGGGGAGAUUCAAUUGUAGCUGCUAUACCAUUUUCCUUGUCGUCGUCAAGUAUUGCAUCAUGUUGUAUAUGUAAAAAUUAUUCAUAAAGAAGUGGCAAGAAAGUAAUGGUAUUUGUUAAAUGUAAAUGUAAAUAAAAGUGUGAAGCAAUAUUAUCUAUAACUGUGUCUAUUAGUUAUAGGUUUCGAAAGAUGAAUAGCUAGAAAAGGAAGCAAUAGAUUUUGUUGGACAACAAAAUUUUAAUACAGUGUUUGAAUAUGAACAUAAGAUAGUUUAGAUUUAAUAACAACGAAUGCUAUCAUUCAUGAUAAGAAUAAUUUAUGUUACAAUCUGUUAUGAAAUAGCAUGUUGUUGUAAUUUUCUUCAAACUCAUCAUACUAAUAUUAUCUGUUACAUAUGAAUUGUGCACAAAGAUUAAAUGAUAGUGCGUAGAAUGGAGUGAUUUCAGAGCAUUAGACUGUGUCAUUGUUAUUUGUUAUAAGAACUGUGUAUAUAUAGAGUAAGUGUUUGUGUGAACGAUCAUAGACAAAGAGAAAUACGAAUUAAUGUAAGGAGAAUGGUGAAAGUGGCUAUUGCUGCUUUCGCUGCUAGACGACGGCUUCUUUUUGAGCUCUCAUUUUGCAUCUGUGUGAUCUUCUUUCCCCUGAGCGAGCAGCGACAGCAGGCCGGCUUGCUGAUCGCUCGCUCUCAGGAGCCUUUACGCGAGAGCAAGUCACCACUGUGUUCUAAUAUUUUACAGAUGCACUGCAAUAACCCUGAAACUGUAACUUUGUGAGACCGUAAAUACAAGAUCUGUUAAACAGCCAACUCUGUUUAUAUACACUACCUCUGCAUCAUGACCUACAAAGCAAAGCAUGUGGGAUGUCAAACGAAAUUACUGAUUGUACAUUCGCUCAUUCAGUAGCAUAUUAUACAACAGGCACUACCAGUAGCUCUGAGCUCCAAUGCAUCGAAAGUUUCAGUCGCUAGGCACAUUUUAAUCAGAUGCAUUGAACACCGAUGGUAUGGUUGACAAACAAAAAACCUAUCUCCUCUCUAUCUAUCAGUGUGAGGAGUAGUCAUGUGUAAAUCUAUAGCACAUUAUUGGAAACUGGAGCAUGUACUAAAAUAUGCACUCCAGCACUAAAUCAGUUGCAAACUUCCAGUAGGUUAUGCAUCAAGGAAAAUAUAUAAUAAUGGUGUCAGUGUGAAGGAGCAGUCAUGUGUACAUGUGUAGCACGUUAUUGAAAAUGGAGCUUAUAUUAAAAAAAUCUGCAUUCCAGCACAUUACUGGAAAUCGGAGUAUAUUAUACUAAAAUCUGUAUUCCAAAUAUCUAUUUAGGCAUUUGAUCGAACAUCUUGCGCGCAUGGUGCACACCAGCAACAGCUCGCUUCCAAUAGCAGUAGGAGACAUGUGAGCUCUCCGCCCUUCGCCUUGUCGCAGCUCCAUCAUUCAGAUCCGACAUGGACUGACUUCCUCUCGUCCGGGUUAAGGAGAAGAGCGAGGGCGAAGGCGACAUUCACGGCGGCAAAUAUUCGAGACUUUGGAAAACCAUAGAUACCGGUACACACUACUGAGGAAGAAGAAAAGGCAAUAAUAAGGUGUUGGAUGAACCAGCUUCAGGCACGGGCUGACUCCCUAUCAUCUGGGUUAGGGAGAAGAGCGAGGACGAGGGCGACAUUGACGGCCGCGAAGAUCGAUAGACUGGAAAAUCGUAGAUACUGGUUUGCGCUACUGAGGAAGAAAAAAUGGUCAUAAGGUGUUGGAUGAACCUGCAGAAGCUAUGGAGGCGAACGCAGCGCACAAGGAGCGAGGACGCACGGCCGUUGGUCUCCGGCGUCGUCGUCGCCCUCGCUGGAGACGCCAGGCCAUUUGAGAGGAGGCCCUUUUGGGGACGGAGGUGCCCUUUCUGGAAGGCUGUAGGCGUAGGUAAGCUGAGAAGGAACCGCCUCCGUUGAUGAAACAUCGUGCGGA